GUUCAGCUGCAUUCAGAACCAUUUCUUUUCGCAUUUGUGCCAAACCAGGGGUUGAGUUUGAUGUGGUCUCCACUCAAAACAAUGGCAACAGAUGCUGGAGAUCAGAUUCAAAUUUGAAAAGAGCAUUUUGGCCACUCCCAAACUUUGAGGAAAACGCCCAAGCACACCAGGACAACGCUCAAAGUCCAGGAAUCACGCGAAACACACACUUAGAGCGGGUUUAGCGUGCUUUUACAUGCAUUUGAACACAUAAGCGCACGACUUAAGCGAUCAAGUCAUGCAUGCAUACAAAUAAAAUGCACAAAUUGGAAGCACAUGGACACAAGAAUCCACCGGCCACUCCCUGCGUGCAUGUUCUAGAUCUCCCAUACAUUUGCUUUUACAUGCAGUGAGUUGAUGUACAGAUUUGUGCGUGGGUUUGCAUUACGCAAAGCACGUUUUCCAAUGCACAGGGCUUGAUUGUGUCAAAAAUGCAUGACUUCCUCGCGCGAUUUUUCAAAUGUAGUGCAUCACGCGCAACGCACAUUAAAAGCACAAAAUGAACGCUAAACACCAGCAACGUCAACUAGAAGCCCGUGUUGACAGAAAAACGCGACACUUAGCAACUCUAGAAGAGAAAACCACACGCAUAGAUCACAUGGCCAUCAGGUAUCCUAUGGCGGUUGGUCUUAACAAAGGCCAUCCAGUGACCAAAAACGUUGCCAAGCCCAAGCAGAGCCGCAGGCGAGGGGUAAGUCUGUGCUUGACACAGUUAUGGAUAGUUAUUAUAAAGUUAUUAUGAAUGUUGCAUGCGCUUCCUCAGUAUUUAUGUCUCGUUUUCCAAUACAAAUGUCUGAACAGCCAUAAAUCAAGAAACUUGAGAUGCAAAAUGAAGCGAGUUUAUGCUUAAAACAAGAACAAUAAUCUGUCAUAACACUUGUUUUGGCUUUGAAUGAAGGCAGAUAUUUGUUCUUGGCUUAAUCAUAAAAUAACUUCGUUUAUUAGACAUUUUAUGUGGUUUUGCGUCAAACAAAUGCGUCUUUAGACAUUUGCACUGGAAAACGAAACGCAAAUAUUGAGGAAGGACAUCAAUUUUUUCAAAUAUACAGAUAUUUUACAGUGUUAUCAGAAGGUACAGUAACAGUUAUUUCCAUAUUCUAGUGUUUUUCUGUUUGUAAAAUGAAUUAAAUAGUAAUGAAGAUCUAUUGAAAGUUGCAUCUUCCAGCUAUAUUGUGCUGGUAAUACAAGACCAUAUUAACAUUGUCUUCCUUUUAAAGUUUCUUUAUUUGCACUAAACAUGUCUUAAACUUGCCUUCAUGAAACCAACAGAAAGCCUGGAGUUUCUCCCACUAUGCACUAUUAUAUCACUAGCUAUGUUUCCAUUAGUGGUCGACCGAUAUUGUUUUUUUUGUACAUCCGAUGCCGAUAUCUUGGAAACCAGGGUGGCCGAUAUAAUUGUAUUUAUUUUAAUUAAUAUUUAAGA
RNAcentral lists this long non-coding RNA (1462 nucleotides) under Sinocyclocheilus grahami. RNAcentral describes it as "lncRNA (ENSSGRG00000002034.1)". Lineage: Eukaryota; Metazoa; Chordata; Actinopteri; Cypriniformes; Cyprinidae. The record is from RNAcentral.